Haliotis rubra (blacklip abalone) is the source of this 109-nucleotide long non-coding RNA. RefSeq lists it as uncharacterized. The record is from RefSeq and is a predicted model, not a curated record. NCBI's taxonomy places the organism in Eukaryota, Metazoa, Mollusca, Gastropoda, Lepetellida, Haliotidae. The transcript is spliced from 3 exons.
AUAUAUUAAUAUAUUUGAUGAUAUUAUUACACCCAAACUGCACACUGUACAGGCUGAAAAUCUUGAGGGUGAUAUUACUAUAGAUGAAAAAUCACAUUUUUCAGUUUUG